Petromyzon marinus (sea lamprey) is the source of this 1472-nucleotide non-coding RNA. The record is from RefSeq and is a predicted model, not a curated record. NCBI's taxonomy places the organism in Eukaryota, Metazoa, Chordata, Hyperoartia, Petromyzontiformes, Petromyzontidae.
CACCCCAUCAUGCUGUCAAACCCCCCAAUGGUUUCAAAUGUGAGAUGGCUCUUUCACUGAUAAUGUCUUAUUCGCGAAAGUGGCCCCCCUCCGAAAAUGAGUGAAUAUCACUGUUUUAGGUCAAGGAUUGGCCAAAUAAAGUAGGUAUUAUUUGCUUAUGUUUCUAAAUGUCCGUAAUAAAACUAUAUUUAUGCCACCAGCUGAAUGAGUGGCAGGAGGACUGGGUGACGUUCUUCUCACGGCAGCGACUGCAGCUUCAGCUGGACAUGAUAGAGAAGGACUACGGUGAACGGGAAACCCGCGAGCUCUGGUCUCGGCUUCAGGAUGUUCCAGGAGCUUUAGCUCCACGCUUCACUCAUCCUACCACGCUCUCAUCCCAAAGUCACAAGGCUUCGGCAAGAGCCAGAAGCUCUAGCAACUCUUCCACUACCUGAACCACUGGAAUCACUUUGGGACAGGAUACCGAGGGUCAUCCAUCUCCACCAUGCGCAGUCUCCUCAAGUGAAUGAACGGUGCAGGAAAUCGUGGGCUAUGGUGUAUGACUAUAAAAAUUAUUAUCGGCCAUGAUAUACAUUGUUGAAUAAAGGCCUUCCCUAAGCCACCACUCAAUCUCACAAAACUAGUCCAUUUAAAUGCUGUGCAAUGCCCUAGGCAUUCCACGUGAGUGUGACCGGGGGUCCCUUUGUUCCACAUCCUGGCCGUGAUCUCCACGCGAAAACUGGGUCAGUUAAUGUCCGAAUCAGAAUCUUUAAUUAGGCUGGACGAAUCUGAUGAGCUAUGAAGCUCUUUUUUUCACAGAUGUCCAGUCGGGGCGAGUCAGAAAGUUACAACAACAAACAACAAGUACAAACAGAUAGGAGGGCAAAGUAAAGGAACGCGAAGCAAAUUUUGACUUAAAACUUUCGUGACUGCAGGAAUUCAUAUUCUUGGUUCUUUCGGUAAAGUCACGUAAAUAGAAAACAAAAAACAAUAAAAUAAAGACCGCUUGUGUUGCGAUUGAAACGUCCUGGGUUUUUUGCUUUUAUUAUUUUCAAUUUAUUUUUUAUUUGUUUUAUGUAUUUAAUUAUUUAAUUUGAAUUUGAUUUCUUGUUUUCUAUUUACGUGACUUUAUUUACGUGACUUUACCAAGAAUAUGAACGCUAAGCAAGUCAUGAAAUAAAAAUAUGUAAGAGUUCAAAUUGCAUUAGUGCAUCAAUUCCUGCCAAAUUUUUUUAUCACCAAAUGCCAUUUUGGGCAAUGCAGUAUAACAAAAACAAUCCCAGAUGUUUGGCUAGUACCAGUUACAGUGUAUGUUUUUGUUGUUGUUUUGCUAUGGGAGUAAACCCAUGCAGAGAAAGGGACCAGAAUUAGGAAAGCGAAACCAGGCACUCCUUCAGAAGAUGCCAUGCACGGGCGUGACCACUGCACCACCCUGACGCCCAAACAAAUGUAAUUCAAAUAAUCUACAAUACUGGCAAAUAAACCCUAUUAGU